UACGGAGGGGGCUAGCGUUGUUCGGAAUUACUGGGCGUAAAGCGCACGUAGGCGGCUUUGUAAGUUAGAGGUGAAAGCCCGGGGCUCAACUCCGGAAUUGCCUUUAAGACUGCAUCGCUAGAAUUGUGGAGAGGUAAGUGGAAUUCCGAGUGUAGAGGUGAAAUUCGUAGAUAUUGGGAAGAACACCGAUGGCGAAGGCAGCUCUCUGGACCGUUACUGACGCUGAGGCGCGAAAGCGUGGGGAGCAAACAGG
RNAcentral lists this ribosomal RNA (253 nucleotides) under uncultured bacterium. RNAcentral describes it as "partial 16S ribosomal RNA". It matches the Rfam family "Bacterial small subunit ribosomal RNA", at positions 524 to 776 of the family's 1533-position model. The record is from RNAcentral.